AGGAUGAACGCUGGCGGCGUGCUUAACACAUGCAAGUCGAGCGGAGCACAUCGUUGGAAUCCUUCGGGAGGAAGAAGGUGUGGCUUAGCGGCGGACGGGUGAGUAACGCGUGGACAACCUGCCCUAUGCAGGGGGAUAACAUCCGGAAACGGGUGCUAAUACCGCAUAAGCGCACAGUACCGCAUGGUACGGUGUGAAAAGCUGAGGCGGCAUAGGAUGGGUCCGCGUUGGAUUAGGCAGUUGGCGGGGUAACGGCCCACCAAACCGACGAUCCAUAGCCGGCCUGAGAGGGUGGACGGCCACAUUGGGACUGAGACACGGCCCAGACUCCUACGGGAGGCAGCAGUGGGGAAUAUUGCACAAUGGGGGGAACCCUGAUGCAGCGACGCCGCGUGGGUGAGGAAGUACUUCGGUAUGUAAAGCCCUAUCAGCAGGGAAGAAAAUGACGGUACCUGACUAAGAAGCCCCGGCUAACUACGUGCCAGCAGCCGCGGUAAUACGUAGGGGGCAAGCGU
This 515-nucleotide ribosomal RNA is filed under the name uncultured bacterium. RNAcentral describes it as "bacterial SSU rRNA". It matches the Rfam family "Bacterial small subunit ribosomal RNA", at positions 26 to 541 of the family's 1533-position model. The record is from RNAcentral.